This 1257-nucleotide ribosomal RNA is filed under the name Triticum aestivum (bread wheat). RNAcentral describes it as "partial small subunit ribosomal RNA". The record is from RNAcentral. Lineage: Eukaryota; Viridiplantae; Streptophyta; Magnoliopsida; Poales; Poaceae.
AUGCCGGCGAUGGCCGUGGACAAGCAGCGGCUGCUUCCUCUCUUCGUUCUUGCUUUAGUGACGCCGGCCUGCUUGGCGAGUGGCGGAGAGGAGCCGGCGAGGUUCCAGAUCCCCCAAGACGGGAGCGUGGUGGAGCUGGACGAAGGCAACUUCGAGGCGGCGCUGGCCGCCGUCGAUUUCCUCUUCGUGGACUUCCACGCCCCGUGGUGCGGCCACUGCAAACGCCUCUCCCCGCAGUUGGAUGAAGCUGCUCCGGUUCUUGCUGGGCUGAGCACGCCAAUUGUAGUCGCGAAAGUAAAUGCAGAGAAGUACAAAAAGCUUGGGUCCAAAUAUGGAGUAGAUGGCUUCCCUACUCUUAUGCUUUUUGACCAUGGAGUCCCCACAGAGUACACUGGUUCAAGGAAGGCCGGCCAGCUCGUUGAGAGCCUGAGGAAGCUUGUCGCACCUGAUGUUUCUGUUCUCAAGUCCGACGCGGCAAUCAAAAGUUUUCUCCAGGAAGCUGGUGUGGGUUUUCCAUUAUUUAUUGGAUUUGGGGUGGAUGAAUCCUCCAUUGCCGAGUAUGGAGCAAGGUACAAGAAGAAGGCAUGGUUUUCUACAGCAAAUGAUUUCUCUGAGGAUUUGAUGGCCGUGUAUGAUUUUGACAAGAUUCCAGCAUUGGUUUCGCUCAACCCAAAAUAUAACGAGCAGAGUGUUUUUUAUGGCCCCUUUGAAGGAACCUUUUUGGAGGAUUUUAUACGGCAAUCCCUGCUUCCGAUAACUGUGCCCAUCAAUGAAGAGACUGUUAAGAUGCUAAAAGAUGAUGAUAGGAAAGUUGUCCUUGCAAUUCUGCAGGAUGAAUCUGAUGAAACUUCCAUGCAGUUGAUAAAAGUUUUAAGGUCUGCAGCCAAUGCAAACCAUGACCUGGUGUUUGGAUAUGUGGGAGUCAACCAAUGGGAGGAAUUCACUGAGCCUUUCCAUGAUUCUAAGAGCUCACAGCUGCCAAAGUUGGUAGUCUGGGACAAAGAUGAGGAGUAUGAAGUGGUUGAGGGUUUAGAGAGUUUGGAAGAAGGUGACCACGGAUCCCAAAUUAGUCGUUUCCUCGAGGCAUAUAGAGCUGGAAGAACAAUAAAGAAGACAUUGGGCAGACGCUCCCCAACGCUGCUCGGUGUGAAUGCGUCGUACAUCCUCCUCUUCUUGGUGGCUGUGCUUGUUGUUCUGAUGUUUUUCUCUGGGCAAGGCGAGGAAGAUCGCCAGCCAACACGAGCCCAUCAAGAAUGA